RNAcentral lists this transfer RNA (71 nucleotides) under Bos taurus (domestic cattle). RNAcentral's name for it is "tRNA-His". It matches the Rfam family "tRNA". From Rfam's summary of the family: Transfer RNA (tRNA) molecules are approximately 80 nucleotides in length. Their secondary structure includes four short double-helical elements and three loops (D, anti-codon, and T loops). Lineage: Eukaryota; Metazoa; Chordata; Mammalia; Artiodactyla; Bovidae. The record is from RNAcentral.
GUAAAUAUAGUUUAACAAAAACAUUAGAUUGUGAAUCUAACAAUAGAAACUCAUUACCUUCUUAUUUACCG